Molecule: ribosomal RNA, 253 nt
Filed under: uncultured bacterium
Lineage: Bacteria
Description: partial 16S ribosomal RNA
Rfam family: Bacterial small subunit ribosomal RNA
Source: RNAcentral
UACGGGGGGGGCAAGCGUUGUUCGGAAUUACUGGGCGUAAAGGGCGCGUAGGUGGUGACCUAAGCGUGCGGUGAAAGCCCGAGGCUCAACCUCGGGUCGGCCGUGCGAACUGGGUCACUGGAGCAGAAUAGAGGCAGGUGGAAUUCCGGGUGUAGCGGUGGAAUGCGUAGAGAUCCGGAAGAACAUCGGUGGCGAAGGCGGCCUGCUGGGUUCUGGCUGACACUGAGGCGCGACAGCGUGGGGAGCAAACAGG